RNAcentral lists this ribosomal RNA (1215 nucleotides) under Turicibacter sanguinis. RNAcentral's name for it is "partial 23S ribosomal RNA". It matches the Rfam family "Bacterial large subunit ribosomal RNA", at positions 1332 to 2540 of the family's 2925-position model. Lineage: Bacteria; Bacillati; Bacillota; Erysipelotrichia; Erysipelotrichales; Turicibacteraceae. The record is from RNAcentral.
AUCCAUCGAAAGCCUAAGGUUUCCAGGGGAAGGUUCGUCCGCCCUGGGUUAGUCGGGACCUAAGCCGAGGCCGAAAGGCGUAGGUGAUGGACAACAGGUUGAGAUUCCUGUACCACCAAUAAUCGCUUGAGAGAAGGAAUGACACAGUAGGAUAAGCUAACCACACUGUUGGUUAUGUGUGGCUAAGUACUGAGGCAGUCAAGGUAGGCAAAUCCGCCUUGAUAAUGCUGGGGUACGAUGGGGAGCGAAAUUAAGUAGCGAAGUAGCUGAUUUCACACUGUCGAGAAAAGUUUCUAUCGAGAUUAAAGGUGCCCGUACCGCAAACCGACACAGGUGGGUGAGGAGAGUAUCCUAAGGCCAGCGAGAGAACUGUUGUUAAGGAACUCGGCAAAAUGACCCCGUAACUUAGGGAGAAGGGGUGCCACGUUAGGGUUAACGCCCGAGGUGGCCGCAGAGAAUAGGCCCAAGCGACUGUUUACCAAAAACACAGGUUUCUGCUAAGUCGCAAGACGAUGUAUAGGAGCUGACGCCUGCCCGGUGCUGGAAGGUUAAGGGGAUCUGUUAGGAUUUAUCCGAAGCAGUGAACUUAAGCCCCAGUAAACGGCGGCCGUAACUAUAACGGUCCUAAGGUAGCGAAAUUCCUUGUCGGGUAAGUUCCGACCCGCACGAAAGGCGUAACGAUUUGGGCACUGUCUCAACAACAGACUCGGUGAAAUUGUAAUCCCGGUGAAGAUGCCGGGUACCUGCGACAGGACGGAAAGACCCCAUGGAGCUUUACUGUAGCUUGACAUUGAAUUUUGGUGCUACAUGUACAGGAUAGGUGGGAGGCUAUGAAGUCGGGACGCCAGUCUCGGCGGAGCCAUCCUUGGGAUACCACCCUUGUAGUACUGAGAUUCUAACCAGAUACCUUGAAUCAGGUAUUGGGACACUGUCAGGUGGGCAGUUUGACUGGGGCGGUCGCCUCCCAAAGAGUAACGGAGGCGCUCAAAGGUUCUCUCAGCACGGUCGGAAAUCGUGCGUAGAGUGUAAAGGCAGAAGAGAGCUUGAUUGCAAGACAUACAGGUCGAGCAAGGACGAAAGUCGGACUUAGUGAUCCGGUGGUUCCGCAUGGAAGGGCCAUCGCUCAACGGAUAAAAGCUACCCUGGGGAUAACAGGCUUAUCUCCCCCAAGAGUCCACAUCGACGGGGAGGUUUGGCACCUCGAUGUCGGCUCAU